RNAcentral lists this unclassified non-coding RNA (347 nucleotides) under Hevea brasiliensis (rubber tree). The record is from RNAcentral. Lineage: Eukaryota; Viridiplantae; Streptophyta; Magnoliopsida; Malpighiales; Euphorbiaceae.
UCGAUGAAUUCGAGAAUCCCCUCACCGGCAUCGAGCUUGUCGGUAUCGAGACCGAGAAUAAUGCCGGAUACGACUUCGAGCCCGUAACUGUUCAGCGUUUGCACGCCCUCCAGGAUCGGCACCAUCAUGUUGUGCUGCUUCGACAUCGCCUUCAGCGCGUCGGGAUCCGGCGUCUCGAUGCCAGCAAACAAUGUCGUGAAGUAAGCAUCGCGCAUCAGCGACAGGAUUUCCGGACGCUUGGCGAUAUUCAGCGUCGCUUCGCAGGCGAACUGGAUCGCGUAUCCGUUGCGCUUCUGCCACUCGAUCAGGUGCGGCAGGAGGUCCAGUGCCGCCUUCCGGUUGCCGAU